UACGUAGGUGGCAAGCGUUACUCGGAAUCACUAGGCGUAAAGCGCAGGUAGGCGGUUCGGUAAGUCCUUUGUGAAAGCUCCCGGCUCAACUGGGAGAGGCCAAGGGAAACUGCCGAGCUAGAGUGUGGUAGGGGAAACUGGAAUUCCUGGUGUAGCGGUGAAAUGCGUAGAUAUCAGGAGGAACACCUAUGGCGAAAGCAGGUUUCUGGGCCAUCACUGACGCUGAGGUGCGAAAGCCAGGGGAGCAAACGGG
This 253-nucleotide ribosomal RNA is filed under the name uncultured bacterium. Its description in RNAcentral is "partial 16S ribosomal RNA". It matches the Rfam family "Bacterial small subunit ribosomal RNA", at positions 524 to 776 of the family's 1533-position model. The record is from RNAcentral.